Molecule: long non-coding RNA, 558 nt
Filed under: Helianthus annuus (common sunflower)
Lineage: Eukaryota; Viridiplantae; Streptophyta; Magnoliopsida; Asterales; Asteraceae
Source: RNAcentral
UUCAUACCAUCACCUUAGCACCGAAAACGGCCACCACAAUUGCAUCUGCGUACGCCGCACCACCACUCUCCGGCGGCUGUGAAUCGCCCCGACACUCACCACCGUAUCACCCCCGUCUGAAACAUACCGCCUCACCAUCAUUGCAUUCCUUAGUGGCCAUAUUUGUUUCGCAUGAACACCACCGUCGCACCGCCCAUACGCGAGUCCGUCGCAACAGCUUUUCAGUCGUCGCUGUCGCAUUCGGCCAUUGUAUGACUCCGCCUAGUUUAACACGUUUUCGCCCCGAGACUGCUGCAACUUCACCACCGCCGCCUGACCGUCUUCGGUUUUGCCCACAACUGACGUCGCUCUAAUAUGUGAUGUAUAUCAGAUCGGUUCGAUCAGGUAAUAUGGGAUGAUCUGGGAUUUCAGUGGAGAGCGUUAGGAAGUUGCUAGUCAAGAUUCUUUAUUUCAGUAAUGUAAUAAAUGUAAUUAGGAUCUUUUAUUUAAUGCUUUGGAUUGGUUUUUAGUUUUGAUAUCUGUAAGAGUGACACGUCAGCCCUUUUCGGGUCGGGGUGU